RNAcentral lists this long non-coding RNA (449 nucleotides) under Zea mays. Its description in RNAcentral is "long non-coding RNA (ZMAY_LNC001465)". Lineage: Eukaryota; Viridiplantae; Streptophyta; Magnoliopsida; Poales; Poaceae. The record is from RNAcentral.
CUUGAUAGGCUUUAUUUGUUCUUGGUAUUAUCAUGGUCCUUUGUCAUUACAUCUAGGCGAGAGCUUCAAGCACACUGAGUUUUGUGAUUGCCAUUGCCAACUGGUGCAGAGUCGACAUGCUCCAUGAAAUCUUGAUAAUUUACUAGAGGUCUUAGAUUUCUGAAUAUAUGUUAUCAUUCUUCUACCAGUUUUAGUGGUAUUUGAUGUUGAGUUAGUUUUCUUUUUCUGUCAGAAACCAGGUCUUGGCAAUAUCUCCCUGCUCACAUUGUUUAAAAUAUCGGACACAUACUUAGUAAACACGGAAUGUUACCCAUGACUCAUUUAUUGUGCCAAGUUGCUGAUCCCUACAUAAUAGAUCUGUAUUUUAGUUUUUGUGUAUCUAUUCUUGCCGCUUUUGCAUCCAGCAAUCGAAGGCAGUUGUGCCUCAAAUGUGGCUGCUUUGUAAGUUG